GACGAACGCUGGCGGCGUGCUUAACACAUGCAAGUCGAACGGAAAGGCCCUGCUUUUGUGGGGUGCUGGAGUGGCGAACGGGUGAGUAACACGUGAGUAUCCUGCCCUUGUCUUUGGGAUAACUUCAGGAAACUGGGGCUAAUAUCGGAUAGGAGCUCCUGCUGCAUGGUGGGGGUUGGAAAGUUUCGGCGGUCGGGGUUGGACUCGCGGCUUAUGAGCUAGUUGGUGGGGUAGUGGCUUACCAAGGGUUUGACGGGUAGCCGGCUGGAGAGGGUGACCGGCCACAUGGGGACUAAGAGACGGAGCAGACUCCUACGGUAGGCAGUAGUGGGGAAUAUUACACAGUGGGCGGAAGCCUGAUACAGCAGCGCCGCGUGCGUGAUGACGGCCUUCGGGUUGUAAACCGCUUUCGCCUGUGACGAAGCGUGAGUGACGGUAAUGGGUAAAGAAGCACCGGCUAACUACGUG
Molecule: ribosomal RNA, 468 nt
Filed under: uncultured bacterium
Lineage: Bacteria
Description: partial 16S ribosomal RNA
Rfam family: Bacterial small subunit ribosomal RNA
Source: RNAcentral